GCAAAUCUCAAAAAGACCGUCCCAGUUCGGAUUGCAGGCUGCAACCCGCCUGCAUGAAGUUGGAAUCGCUAGUAAUCGCGGAUCAGCAUGCCGCGGUGAAUACGUUCCCGGGCCUUGUACACACCGCCCGUCACACCAUGAGAGUCGGGAACACCCGAAGUCCGUAGUCUGACCGCAAGGGGGACGCGGCCGAAGGUGGGUUCGAUAAUUGGGGUGAAGUCGUAACAAGGUAGC
RNAcentral lists this ribosomal RNA (234 nucleotides) under uncultured bacterium. RNAcentral describes it as "partial 16S ribosomal RNA". It matches the Rfam family "Bacterial small subunit ribosomal RNA", at positions 1267 to 1500 of the family's 1533-position model. The record is from RNAcentral.